AAUAUUGGGCAAUGGACGCAAGUCUGACCCAGCAACGCCGCGCGAAGGAAGAAGGCUUUCGGGUUGUAAACUUCUUUUAAGGGGGAAGAGCAGAAGACGGUACCCCUUGAAUAAGCCACGGCUAACUACGUGCCAGCAGCCGCGGUAAUACGUAGGUGGCAAGCGUUGUCCGGAUUUACUGGGUGUAAAGGGCGUGUAGCCGGGAAGGCAAGUCAGAUGUGAAAUCUGGAGGCUCAACCUCCAAACUGCAUUUGAAACUGCUUUUCUUGAGUGUCGGAGAGGUAAUCGGAAUUCCUUGUGUAGCGGUGAAAUGCGUAGAUAUAAGGAAGAACACCAGUGGCGAAGGCGGAUUACUGGACGAUAACUGACGGUGAGGCGCGAAAGCGUGGGGAGCAAACAGG
This 401-nucleotide ribosomal RNA is filed under the name uncultured bacterium. RNAcentral's name for it is "partial 16S ribosomal RNA". It matches the Rfam family "Bacterial small subunit ribosomal RNA", at positions 360 to 776 of the family's 1533-position model. The record is from RNAcentral.